UGGAAGCGUCUGGAAAGGCGCGCGAUACAGGGUGACAGCCCCGUACACAAAAAUGCACAUGCUGUGAGCUCGAUGAGUAGGGCGGGACACGUGGUAUCCUGUCUGAAUAUGGGGGGACCAUCCUCCAAGGCUAAAUACUCCUGACUGACCGAUAGUGAACCAGUACCGUGAGGGAAAGGCGAAAAGAACCCCGGCGAGGGGAGUGAAAAAGAACCUGAAACCGUGUACGUACAAGCAGUGGGAGCACGCUUAGGCGUGUGACUGCGUACCUUUUGUAUAAUGGGUCAGCGACUUAUAUUCUGUAGCAAGGUUAACCGAAUAGGGGAGCCGAAGGGAAACCGAGUCUUAACUGGGCGUUAAGUUGCAGGGUAUAGACCCGAAACCCGGUGAUCUAGCCAUGGGCAGGUUGAAGGUUGGGUAACACUAACUGGAGGACCGAACCGACUAAUGUUGAAAAAUUAGCGGAUGACUUGUGGCUGGGGGUGAAAGGCCAAUCAAACCGGGAGAUAGCUGGUUCUCCCCGAAAGCUAUUUAGGUAGCGCCUCGUGAAUUCAUCUCCGGGGGUAGAGCACUGUUUCGGCAAGGGGGUCAUCCCGACUUACCAACCCGAUGCAAACUGCGAAUACCGGAGAAUGUUAUCACGGGAGACACACGGCGGGUGCUAACGUCCGUCGUGAAGAGGGAAACAACCCAGACCGCCAGCUAAGGUCCCAAAGUCAUGGUUAAGUGGGAAACGAUGUGGGAAGGCCCAGACAGCCAGGAUGUUGGCUUAGAAGCAGCCAUCAUUUAAAGAAAGCGUAAUAGCUCACUGGUCGAGUCGGCCUGCGCGGAAGAUGUAACGGGGCUAAACCAUGCACCGAAGCUGCGGCAGCGACGCUUAUGCGUUGUUGGGUAGGGGAGCGUUCUGUAAGCCUGUGAAGGUGUGCUGUGAGGCAUGCUGGAGGUAUCAGAAGUGCGAAUGCUGACAUAAGUAACGAUAAAGCGGGUGAAAAGCCCGCUCGCCGGAAGACCAAGGGUUCCUGUCCAACGUUAAUCGGGGCAGGGUGAGUCGACCCCUAAGGCGAGGCCGAAAGGCGUAGUCGAUGGGAAACAGGUUAAUAUUCCUGUACUUGGUGUUACUGCGAAGGGGGGACGGAGAAGGCUAUGUUGGCCGGGCGACGGUUGUCCCGGUUUAAGCGUGUAGGCUGGUUUUCCAGGCAAAUCCGGAAAAUCAAGGCUGAGGCGUGAUGACGAGGCACUACGGUGCUGAAGCAACAAAUGCCCUGCUUCCAGGAAAAGCCUCUAAGCAUCAGGUAACAUCAAAUCGUACCCCAAACCGACACAGGUGGUCAGGUAGAGAAUACCAAGGCGCUUGAGAGAACUCGGGUGAAGGAACUAGGCAAAAUGGUGCCGUAACUUCGGGAGAAGGCACGCUGAUACGUAGGUGAAGUC
Molecule: ribosomal RNA, 1431 nt
Filed under: Escherichia coli
Lineage: Bacteria; Pseudomonadati; Pseudomonadota; Gammaproteobacteria; Enterobacterales; Enterobacteriaceae
Description: partial 23S ribosomal RNA
Rfam family: Bacterial large subunit ribosomal RNA
Source: RNAcentral